Long non-coding RNA from Acinonyx jubatus (cheetah), 5499 nucleotides. RefSeq lists it as uncharacterized. The record is from RefSeq and is a predicted model, not a curated record. NCBI's taxonomy places the organism in Eukaryota, Metazoa, Chordata, Mammalia, Carnivora, Felidae. The transcript has 2 exons.
ACUGUUCCAAGCUUGAGAUGCGCUUGGAGUGGGGGUAUCAGCAGUGGGUGGGGAAGUGGGUUGGAAAGUCCUGAAUUCUAUUCUGGCUGCUCCCUUUUGGCUUCUUGUCUUCUCACUUCCUGCAUCUAGGACUUCUAGAUUCUGUUCUUCUGAGCGGCAUCGCCACCUUCCCAGGCCCUUAACCCACAAACCAGCUACACUGGCCUUCAGCUCCUUCCAUAUGCUCUUUAUUUAUUUUUUUUUAAUUUUUAAAAAAUGUUUAUUCAUUUUUGAGAGGUGGGGGAGGGCAGAUAGAAAGGAGAAUGUGAAGUAGGCUCCAUGUUGUCAGCACAGAGCCCAACGUGGGGCUCAAACCCACGAACCCAUGAACCGUGAGAUCGCGACCUGAGCCGAAGUCAGAUGCUCAACCGACUGAGCCACCCAGGCGCCCCCUUCCACAGGCUCUUAGGCUCUUAGAGUCGCUCUGCCUGGUCAGCUCCUGCUCAUCCUUCAGACUUCCGCUCAGUGCCACUUCUUGCAACAAGCCAGCCCUGGAUCCCCCGCCAGGCUAGGUUACCUCCUUUUCCAUGCCUGACGUCCUAAGCUUCUCUUUACUGCACCUGACCUGAUAGGUAGUUCUGUGCCGCCCCCACUAGCCUGCACGCUCCAUGCAGGUGGAGCCCAUGGUCUAACCCACUUUGCAUCCUUUGGCUGCUGCUGGCCCAUGGCAGGCGCUCAGUAAAUAUAUGUUGAAGCACUCUCUCUCCCUCUCCUAUGUAUACAAGUUCUAUCGAUGUGGGGUCUUACAGACCCCCCUUUUUUUUUUUUUGUCCUCACAGCUGUUCCUUCUAUCAGGCCUUCCUCCUCCUCCCCCUGUUGCCCUCUCUUCCUACCCCACUUGCGACUGGCUGUGAGAUUGCCCCUUAGCAAGCGCAUCCCCAGCCUCCGCAGCUGCCCUCUGCACUCAGAACAAACCCGGGCCCAGCCUUGUGCUCAAGGUCCUUCCUGAGCCAACUCCCGCUUUCCUUCCCCGUCUCACCUGCAGGCUGCGCCUCAUGCUGUGGCCUGCAGACCAAUUCUUGGGCCUUGCACAUCCCUUGUGCUUUCCCUUCUCGGCCUUGCUCAUGUUGUUGGCUCUUCCCCUCUAUCGCCAACAGUCCAAACGCCUCAUCAACAGGGGCCUGCUCUCACAUACACGCCCUUCUGUGAGGCCAUCUCAGAGCCCUACAGCUAGGCAGGCGCUCUCUCUCCUGGACGCAUGGCUCUGCAUGUGCCCCUCUCCUCGGACACUGAUUCUUGCCACCCAGCCUCUGGCUGCCCAACGGGGAGCCUCGUGACAGUACUAUGUCCAAUUCAUCUCUGAUUUCCCGGGACCCAGACCCAGCGGAUGGAGUAGAGAAGGCCCCUGAGGCAGGUGGCUACUCUAGUGUUUUUCAAAGCACGUCUUUGGAGGCCAAAUCCCGCAGAUAAGCUUUACUACAUCGAGUUCCCUGAUUCAAGUAGUUUGAGAAACGCUGCACGCUAUACCCUCCUCCUGGAAAUUCAUACAGCAUGCGAAUAUUUUUAAAGCUCUGAGAAGCCCUGAAGCUUCAAAACAAACAAAACUUGUGGGAAAAAAAACCAAACUGACAAAGCACUGACUGAUGUUCCUCACACACACAACCCCCAGGUCUCCCCCUGAGGAAAUGCCUGUCAUCAUCACACAUGAUCCAAAGAACACCCUUUGGGAAAAGUUGACCUGAUCCAGUCCUCUCACUUUAGAAGGGAAUGGAGAACGCUGAGAGGCAAAGGUAACAGAGCCAGUGAGCGACCAAGUCAGACCCAGAAUCUGGGCUUCUUCAUCUCAUUUUCUUCAGUCAGCAAACAUUCACGAGCACCUCCUGUGUGCCCGGCCCUCAGCUAGACGCCAAGGACUCAGAGUUAGAUGCAAAGGCCCAGCGAGGGAAAUUACUGACUCAGAGUCAUAUGGCAAGUUCUUAUAGAGCCUGAAUUAGAACUUGUGCCUUCUGACUCUCAGCUACUGUGCUUUUUGUUGUUGUAUCAGACAACAGAGGCUCAGAGAAAUUCCCAGCCACCUCCUAUCCUCUGCAUGUACGUGCACAUGUACACACAUGACAACACACACACACACACACACACACACACACACACACAGCAAAAUAUUGAUUAACUGGUGUGUUGUGGUAGAAGGCGAUGGUGGGUAAUUUAUUUUCUAGGCACUUGAGAGUUAAUAUGAAACUGGAUUUAUUUCAGCCCCUGUUUCCUAUCCUCUAAAAUCUCUCCCAGUGUACUUAGGAGGUGCCAUCUAGCAACUAUAAAUGGGCUUUGUCUGCUGAGAGAGCCUGCCAUGGGGGUUAAUUUACUGGCAUGGAGGUCAGGAUGGUGGGUUCAAGUCCAGCUGCUGCAGAGCUGUUUUCCCAUUUAUACAGACAAGCUGGACUUGGCGGCACUUGCCUGACAUUUGAAAUGGUGUUCUCUGCACCGUGGCUUGUGCACACAGGCAGAGUGCCAACCCUCUGUACCGCUACCCCCUUGCACCCAUCCUUCCCCUCUGCUACCACGUAAGUGGGGAACCCAGUUUAAACUUUGCCCUCAAUACUGAUCACUGCACCCAACCACACUAUAAAUAAUUAAACGAAUGUCUCUGUCUCUUCCAAUGUCCUAAUCAGUGUUGAAUUUUGUUCCAAUUAAAAACAAAAUUCCAGACAGCUAAUAUUUAGCACUGGUCCUGACCUUAAGUCUUUUGGGUUCUUAUCUAAAGCAUGACUCUGGGGUCAUUGGAGGCCAAUGGCUGACCACUUGGCCUUGACUUACCUCUGAGCCUCCCCUGAUGAGGCCUGGGCAACCCUGUCACAUGGGUGAGGACUUGUGUAAUCAACCAGCAGGGGACUGAGGCCCACUUGGUACUCCCUAGGGCCUCCUAAGAGAAAAUCUGUGAGCCAAGGACAAGGAGAGAUUUGUAUCUCCUGGCCAGCUUUCUCCUUAUGUACUGAAAAAUGAGGACUAUAUAACCAAUUGUUUCUGUCUGUACUUGGGCACCAGGAAACUCAGUCAAAUAUUAGUUCGGUUGCAGUGAAUGCAUGGGACCUUAGAACUGGUUUAUUUGUCUUCCAUAAUUCCCUUCUGUUCUGUGCCUCCCAGAAGGGCAUGAUUUUUUAAAAUAUUUUACUAUAUGUGUAAGCUGCUUCAAACCCAUUGCACAACAAGGUGAGGGUGUAACUCAUGGAAUGAAGCAUCGGCAAGGUAAGAUGCCCUCUGUUCCCCUCCAUCAGCAAGUUCUAUCUUUCCCCUUCUCUGCUGCCCACAUAUUGCCCGGGCUCCCAUGAUCUCUCACGUGCGUUUCUCUGACGCCCCCUAACUGGGUCCUGCCCACUUCCAUUCUCAUCCUCAGGCCUUUCUCCAAAGAGUGAUGUCCAAGUGUAAAUCUAAUCGUGUUUCAUUAUUAUAUGCCCCUACCGUAACAGUCAGGGUUCUGGCUUGCGAGCCACAGAAACUCACUCUGGUUUUCUUAGUCACAAACAUACGGACGCAAAAGAACAUAUUAAUAAGGUGUUGCAAGAUCUCCAGAAUCAACCACAGUUGGAGCCCUGGGCCUGGACUGUCUUUUAGCAUCAACAGUCAGGCCAGGAUGCUGCUGUCACUGUGGUUGCCUUGAGAACCAACCCCCCACCCCCAGGACCCCACCAUCCCUGACAGGGGCACUACCACUGGGCCAUGGAUGAAUUCUGCCAUCCCAAUGACUCCAGAAUCAAAGAUCUAUGUGGGAGAGUCCAAUCAGCCCAGCCUGGGUCUCUGCUUUUGCCUUGGCUACUCAGGACAGAGAACAGACCUGGCCCCUCUCUCCUCCACAGAGGCAUACUCUCCCAUUAAUAGCAUACAAAAUAAGAAAUUCCAACUAGGAAGGAGGCUUAGGAACUGGGCAGCCAAAAUUGCAACAAAUAUCCACCAUCCUUGUUUUAUAUCUCCGUGAUGUCACAUCGUAUGUGGAAUAAAAUCCAGGUUUUUCACCAAGGCAUAGGAGAGCCUGCCUUCCCUGGCCCAUACCUACCUCUCCAGUCAUGCCUCUCGUUACCCACUCUCCCACCCCCUCCCCAGGCCUGGCUCUGGUCACAGUGGCCUUACAGGUCCUUGAACACGCCAAGCUCUGUCCUGCCUCAGGGUCUUUGUACAUGAUAGAGUCCUUUUGUCUGGAAUGCCCUUCUCCUCCCUUUGCCCAUGGCUGGCUCUUUCCUAUCCUUCAUUUGUCAGGUUAAAUGGCAUCUCCUCAGAGGCCUCUCCCGACCCACCUGUCUAAAGUAGGUCACUCCUUGAUUGUCUCUUUCGUAACACUUAUCGCAAGUUGAAAUUACCACAUUUAUGUGUUUACUUGUUUUUUGGCCAUUAAAUAGACCUCAAAUUGCAUGCAGGCAGGGGCCUGCUGGCUUUGUUCUCUGCCGAAUCCCUGGUGUGUGGCUAAGAGCCUCGCACAGGAGAAGUCUGAAUAACUUGCUUAUAGGUGGAAUGAGAGCAUGCUUGGGGACAUGAGGUUGAAUGAGGAACAGGCCCUGCCCACAAGGGGCAACAAGUAGCCUGGCGGGCACAGACCCGUCACGGUGCGCAGCCUGCUGUGCUCUGACAGAUGUGAGGGACGGGCUCGAUGAUGUCGGCCCCGGCCACAGGUAACCACCAGGUGCUGGCAGCUCCCUGGAGUUACCCCCAAUCUAAGGUGGGAGAGUUGCAGAAGGCUCCCACCCAGGGCCGGCUUCAUGGGUGCGGGACCAGUGGGUCACACAGGGUUCCACAUUCGGAAGGGCCCCGUGCCAGGGGUUCAGUAUUCUGCAGUAGCUGUUUGAAAUCCUUAAUCAUUGUAUCUUUGAAUCUGCAUUUUACAAGUGAGGCCUGCUGGGACAAUGGGACGGGCCAGGGGACUUGGAGCCUUGGCUCAUGCAGGAUCCUGCCUCCCACAGCUUCCUCGCUCCCUGGGACAUGUUCUCCACGACCCACUCUUACCCCGCUCAGAUGCAGGGCUUGGCCAGCCUCCUUCCUAUUGCUAUCCAGUGACUGCUGCCUCCUUCUGACCCCAGAGAGGGCCUGGACGCAGACCCAGGUUGGGGUCCCAUGAGCCCAUCCUGCCACGUCUCCUGGCAGGGCGUGGAGGCGGCCCGUCCCCAUCCUGGGCUGACAGCGCCAUGUGCACUGUGCUGAGUGUGUGGGGUAACGUGGUGGGAGAAGCCUCUUGCCCAUCUCCCCUCCCCCGUCAAGGAGCCGAGCACGUGUCCCUGAAUGGAGGUCGUUAUAUGCUGUGAGGUAGGGGGUGGGCAUGUGGGAAGGGUGAAUGUCUAGCUCAAUUUCUGUGCUCCUAGCGGGGGCAUAGUGUGUUGAUCUGGUGCUGCAGGGAGAGGCAAACUGGCAGCCACUGGCCACACACACACACACAUGCACACGAGCACCGAGUUUUGGGGCUCCUGGGUGACUGUGAGGGCCCGCAUUCACCCAUGAAUAUCCCUCUGUCCGUGGGAACGUGACAUUAAGUAGUAGCUA